This 274-nucleotide ribosomal RNA is filed under the name uncultured bacterium. Its description in RNAcentral is "partial 16S ribosomal RNA". It matches the Rfam family "Bacterial small subunit ribosomal RNA", at positions 523 to 796 of the family's 1533-position model. The record is from RNAcentral.
AUACGGAGGGGACAAGCGUUAUUCGGAAUCACUGGGCGUAAAGGACGCGUAGGCGGGUUAUUAAGUCGGGUGUGAAAUCCAAUGGCUCAACCAUUGAACUGCAUUCGAAACUGGUAACCUAGAGUAUGGAAGGGGCAGGUGGAAUUAGUGGUGUAGGGGUAAAAUCCGUAGAUAUCACUAGGAAUACCGAAAGCGAAGGCGACCUGCUGGGACAUUACUGACGCUGAGGCGUGAAAGCGUGGGGAGCAAACAGGAUUAGAAACCCUAGUAGUCC